Molecule: long non-coding RNA, 3696 nt
Organism: Carassius gibelio (silver crucian carp)
Lineage: Eukaryota; Metazoa; Chordata; Actinopteri; Cypriniformes; Cyprinidae
Exons: 2
Source: RefSeq, a predicted model, not a curated record
AGCAUAUAUGUUAAUUGGCCAAGAAAUAUGUUACAUUUAAUCUUAUAGUAUGAUAUUGUGUUUGAAUGUUUUUCCUUUACUUUUUUCUUACUUCUUCCUUUUGUCCCUCUCUUGCAGGACAGUUUAAUGACGUCCAGAGUGCUGUUUUCAAGUCCAGUCCAGAUUGUGACCUGGUCGAAUGUUCUGCAUCCUAAAUGUCAUUUGUAGGAUAUUUGAAGGAUAGUUCAUUUGUUCACAAGCAGCUGUGAAUAUAGGAUAUAUGUAGAAAAAUGAAUUAUGCAAUUCAUAUUUAAGUGCUAUGUCAUGAAAGUCUUUUGAAAUCAGAGUUUUAAAAAGUAGUAUGUGAGAGAAAGGGUUUCUGUGAAUAUUAUAUGGCGAUCAUAACAUCUGAACAGUUUUAUUUUUCAAGGUUGGGGCAAGUUGUCACAGUGACUAAAGAGCUUGAUUUGUAAACUGAUUCAGUAGAUUCUUUGAAAAGAAAAGCGUGCGUGUGUCAAUCUCUUCUGUCAAAGAAAGCUCUCAGCUCAGAACUUUGGAUAGCCUUAUGUUCUGCUAAGGUUAUGAAAAAAAAUCUUAAAAAUAAAGUUCUGUAACUAAAAAAUUAUUAUUCAUUGUUCAUAAAAAGUUUUUUUCUUAAAACACUAUUAUUUACUGCAUGUUUCAGAACGUUCAGAGAACAUUCAAAAGUAACAUUUCCAUGUUUGAAAAAUGAUCAAAUGCACUGUUAAAUGUUUCUCUGACGUUUUCCAUACCCUAGAUGACAUUUUUUCAAAAUGUUUGAAAACUGACAUUUUGAACUCUCAGUCAACAUUCAGAAAUAAUCUUUUCAUAACUUAAUGGGAACAUUAGCAAAACAUCCUUGAAACAUGUUUUUGUUACCUGGGCUUAAGCACACUGGCAGAGCCAUUUUAUAGAAUUCAUAAAUUGCAAUGUUAGCCAAAACAAUAGUUUUAACUUUAAUAUCUAGCCAGUAUUCCAGAAAUGCUCCAUUUUUUUCUGAGCAUCGGGCACAAAUACCAUCCCUUCACAAAAAGAUAGACAGGAUUUCAUGAGGACAUGUGACCAGUGAUAUAAGCACCCAAAGCUUUAUAAGUCUGCACGUGUCUGAAGAGCGGAGACAGAUCCGUCUUGUGUGCCUGUGUGUGUGUCUGUGUGCGUGUGUGGUUUUUUGGUUUUCUAGCCAGUCUGAUCUGCUCCAAGAAACACUGCUGAGAUGUUCUUCCGCAUUCCUCUCCUGACACCAGGAUACAUUCGAUACCUGCAGACUCAGACAGCGCGGACCAGUAUGCAGAGGGAGGGGCCUGCUGUACCCCGUCUUGCCAUGCUGCUAGGCCUUGUGGGUAUAGGGAUGUCAGGAUACAGCUCUCGCCAGCUGACCUUAUAUCACAAGCCAUCAUCACAUCUCCUGCGGUGAAACAAAAAGCAGCAAACAGAGAGAAAACCCAUAGCUUUUGUAUAAAGGUGAGUUGAACAAGCUCGGAGAUCAUGCAUCCAUUUGUUAGUUUUACCACAUCAUGCUGAAGCUCAUAGUCUUGCUUUGGUUGCGAGGAUGGCCGAUCCUCAACCCCAAACUUGUUCUCUGGUAACAAGGGAGUGAAUUAAAUGCUUUGACUUUUUUAUUUAGUUUAAAAAAAUGCAUUGAGAAUGCAUAACAGGCAUAAGUGUCCUUCUGAAUCAUAAAAUGACAAGUGGGAUAUGUUAUGGUCUUGUGGACCUCAAGGAUGCUUCAAAGUCUACUUCAAUUAAACACUGAGUACAGGUGUCCACUUAGAACUGGAUUAUAUUUUUGAUAUAAUAUGUAAUUAAAUUUUAAAUUCCCAAAAAUAAUUCUACUCUUCGUAUACCUGAAGAUCCUAAAGAAGACCAACAGAUUCUCCAAAGUCAAUGCAAACCAGCCAACAACAAAUCCAGCAGCCAAUAAGACUAGCACAGCUGUCACAGCGCAAACAUCACGAUGAAGUAUGACUCCAGUUUUUAUUGAUUUUCUUAAAGAAAUUUUAAGAGACAUAUUGCUCUAAUGAAUAGAGCCAUUUAAGCAGGUCACCUUCAUAGCUAUGAGUCACAGUCACUAUUUACAGGACACGGAUUCAUCUUUAAUAUACAUUUAGCAUUUAAUAUCCCAUUUGUCUAUAUAUAUAUAUUUGCUUUUAUGUAUUUAAAAUAUUUAGAUUUUAUUUUAUUUUCUCACAUAAUUAAUUAGAUAUUGUCAUAUUUGUGAUUUUGUUUGUAUAAAGUGUUUUUGAGUUUGAAUGUACAUAUAAUGUAAAUAAGUUUAUUUAAUGCAUAUAUUUUUAUUUGAUGUGUAUUUAUGUUUCGUAAAUAACAAAGUGUGUAUUUUGAAAUUCUUUAGCUUUGAGAGUAGGGCAGUGUUUUUUGAUGGGCCUCCAUUUUACCAUUCACAAGCAUGUACAGAAAUCCUCGUCUGGAUUUCCUCUUCCAAUUUGGGCUUGGUACUCUGGUUUGCCAACCUCGGUGUCACCCAGACUAAGCAGACUUAAAUCUGUAACCCCCCAAAAAGCCCAUGAAGGACACUGACCUAUCCGAAACUCUCUCCUAACUAGACAACUGAUCAAUACGAUCUCAUAAAAGUGUUUAUUUAUUAAAUAUUGUGUGUUUUGGCAUUGACGUAUGUAAUAAAUGUCUCACCGACAGCUAAAUGUCAUUGGUUUUGUGAAUGGGAUGGGAUCGAUGUGAACUUGAGCGCUGAGUCAUGUAAUGAUGUCAUGACAUCUCAGAGCAGACACUCAAGAAGAAGAAGAAGAAGAGCUUAUGUUCUUAUAACGGUCUAAUCUGCUCAUCCAAUUACAGUUGGCUGCUAACAUAAGGUCAAAGACCUUUAUUUGGAGAACAGAUGGCCAACUUGAAUUGGGGAAAAUGUGGUGUUUUCAUCUUCUGUGGACGCUAUGACUGAUUUGCAGUGAUUUUUGUUUUAUUGUUCUUAUUGUUGACAUUAUUGAGUAUAAUGAUUGUUGCCAUUGUGACCAUUUUAGCACUUUAUGGGAGGAUUGAUUGUAUUUUCACAGCUCUUUUUUAAUGAAGAGAGUAUAUGUCUUGUCUUGUAAAUUAUUUUAAUUGUGUAUUUAUUUACUAAAUCAAAUAUUCCAGCAUGUAAAGAGACUUAAUUGCUUACAUGGUCGUCUACAUACCUAUUGAAAGUCUACAUACCUAUUAACACAGUAUACAUUUCUAUUGAUUAAAAAUUAGAACUUUAAUUUCAGAGCUAAAAAAAAAACUUUUAGGAUUUUUUGAAUUGUUAAUAUUAUUUUAAGUGUAAAGCAAACAUAUUCAUACUUAAUUUAAAAAAUAUAGCAUGCACAAAAUUUUAACUGAUCAGCCAAAUAUUGUUUUAAAGUAAUGCAGUAGGGGGCAGCACUACACUAAAACCUCUAAAAAAAAGUAGCAAUAACUUGAACUUUAAAAGUAAGCAGGAAACAUUAGUCCACUAAAAUCUGUUUACAGUCUACAAAACUGUUUAUGUUUAUGUAAGACAGAGAUGCACUAAAUAAGAGUUGUUAUUGAAUGUCUGAUCUUCCGGACAAUCACCUGUGGUUUUAGUAGCUGUGUUGUAAAUGCACUGACUCACUUUAGUUACUAAACUCUGCAAAUCCGAACCAGAACCAACCUGUCGAAAUUACUUCUCCUUUAUACAUGCAACCACAUACAUUCAUGCUGCAAAUAAAGGGAUAUGCAAACCUA